This 107-nucleotide non-coding RNA is filed under the name Acidovorax sp. Leaf160. RNAcentral's name for it is "SAH (S-adenosyl-L-homocysteine) riboswitch aptamer". It matches the Rfam family "SAH (S-adenosyl-L-homocysteine) riboswitch aptamer". The record is from Rfam by way of RNAcentral. RNAcentral also lists the same sequence under 1 other name. Lineage: Bacteria; Pseudomonadati; Pseudomonadota; Betaproteobacteria; Burkholderiales; Comamonadaceae.
CCCCCCGAGGAGCGUUGCAGCGCCCGCCCCGUCCCGUGUUCCGCCGGACGCGGCGGCGUCAGGCUCGGGCUGGAGCUGGCACCGCCCCCCAACGACGCUCACCUGUU